AGCUGCAGAAGAAGCACCGGCUAACUCCGUGCCAGCAGCCGCGGUAAUACGGAGGGUGCGAGCGUUAAUCGGAAUUACUGGGCGUAAAGCGCAUGCAGGUGGUUUGUUAAGUUCAGAUGUGAAAGCCCGGGGCGUCAACCUCGGAAUAGCAUUUGUAAACUAGGCAGACUAGAGUACUGUAGAGGGGGGUAGGAAUUUCAGGUGUAGCGGUGAAAUAGCGUAGAGAUCUGAAGGAAUACCGGUGGCGAAGGCGGCCCCCUCGGACAGAUACUGACACUCAGAUGCGAAAGCGUGGGGAGCAAACAGGAUUAGAUACCCUGGUAG
RNAcentral lists this ribosomal RNA (324 nucleotides) under uncultured bacterium. RNAcentral describes it as "bacterial SSU rRNA". It matches the Rfam family "Bacterial small subunit ribosomal RNA", at positions 477 to 793 of the family's 1533-position model. The record is from RNAcentral.